GAUGAACGCUGGCGGCGUGCCUAAUACAUGCAAGUCGAGCGAACAGACGAGGAGCUUGCUCCUCUGACGUUAGCGGCGGACGGGUGAGUAACACGUGGAUAACCUACCUAUAAGACUGGGAUAACUUCGGGAAACCGGAGCUAAUACCGGAUAAUAUAUUUAACCGCAUGGUUCAAUAGUGAAAGACGGUUUUGCUGUCACUUAUAGAUGGAUCCGCGCCGCAUUAGCUAGUUGGUAAGGUAACGGCUUACCAAGGCAACGAUGCGUAGCCGACCUGGGAGGGUGGUCGGCCGCACUGGAGCUGAGACACGGUCCAGACUCCUACGGGAGGCAGCAGUAGGGAAUCUUCCGCAAUGGGCGAAAGCUUGACGGAACAACGCCGCGUGAGUGAUGAAGGUCUUCGGUUCGUAAAACUCUGUUAUGGGGGAAGAACAAAUGUGUAAGUAACUAUGCCCGUCUUGACGGUACCUGAUCAGAAAGCCACGGCUAACUACGUG
This 497-nucleotide ribosomal RNA is filed under the name uncultured bacterium. Its description in RNAcentral is "partial 16S ribosomal RNA". It matches the Rfam family "Bacterial small subunit ribosomal RNA", at positions 28 to 507 of the family's 1533-position model. The record is from RNAcentral.